RNAcentral lists this ribosomal RNA (253 nucleotides) under uncultured bacterium. RNAcentral's name for it is "partial 16S ribosomal RNA". It matches the Rfam family "Bacterial small subunit ribosomal RNA", at positions 524 to 776 of the family's 1533-position model. The record is from RNAcentral.
UACGUAGGUGACAAGCGUUGUCCGGAUUUACUGGGCGUACAGAGCGCGCAGGCGGUCGUUCAAGUCGAGUGUGAAAGCCCCCGGCUCAACUGGGGAGGGUCAUUCGAUACUGAUCGACUCGAAGGCAGGAGAGGGUAGUGGAAUUCCCGGUGUAGUGGUGAAAUGCGUAGAUAUCGGGAGGAACACCAGUGGCGAAGGCGACUACCUGGCCUGUUCUUGACGCUGAGGCGCGAAAGCUAGGGGAGCAAACGGG